GAGUAAUGUCUGGGAAACUGCCUGAUGGAGGGGGAUAACUACUGGAAACGGUAGCUAAUACCGCAUAACGUCGCAAGACCAAAGAGGGGGACCUUCGGGCCUCUUGCCAUCGGAUGUGCCCAGAUGGGAUUAGCUAGUAGGUGGGGUAACGGCUCACCUAGGCGACGAUCCCUAGCUGGUCUGAGAGGAUGACCAGCCACACUGGAACUGAGACACGGUCCAGACUCCUACGGGAGGCAGCAGUGGGGAAUAUUGCACAAUGGGCGCAAGCCUGAUGCAGCCAUGCCGCGUGUAUGAAGAAGGCCUUCGGGUUGUAAAGUACUUUCAGCGGGGAGGAAGGGAGUAAAGUUAAUACCUUUGCUCAUUGACGUUACCCGCAGAAGAAGCACCGGCUAACUCCGUGCCAGCAGCCGCGGUAAUACGGAGGGUGCAAGCGUUAAUCGGAAUUACUGGGCGUAAAGCGCACGCAGGCGGUUUGUUAAGUCAGA
This 488-nucleotide ribosomal RNA is filed under the name Escherichia coli. RNAcentral's name for it is "bacterial SSU rRNA". It matches the Rfam family "Bacterial small subunit ribosomal RNA", at positions 108 to 592 of the family's 1533-position model. The record is from RNAcentral. Lineage: Bacteria; Pseudomonadati; Pseudomonadota; Gammaproteobacteria; Enterobacterales; Enterobacteriaceae.